GAUGAACGCUGGCGGCGUGCCUAAUACAUGCAAGUCGAGCGAACAGACGAGGAGCUUGCUCCUCUGACGUUAGCGGCGGACGGGUGAGUAACACGUGGAUAACCUACCUAUAAGACUGGGAUAACUUCGGGAAACCGGAGCUAAUACCGGAUAAUAUAUUGAACCGCAUGGUUCAAUAGUGAAAGACGGUUUUGCUGUCACUUAUAGAUGGAUCCGCGCCGCAUUAGCUAGUUGGUAAGGUAACGGCUUAGCAAGGCAACGAUGCGUAGGCGACGUGAGAGGGUGGUCGGCCACAUGGGAACGGAGACACGGUCCAGACUCCUACGGGAGGCAGCAGUAGGGAAUGUUCCGCAAUGGGGGAAAGCUUGACGCAGCAACGCCGCGUGAGUGAUGAAGGUCUUCGGAUCGUAAAACUCUGUUAUUAGGGAAGAACAAAUGUGUAAGUAACUAUGCAGGUCGUGACGGUACCUAAUCAGAAAGCAACGGCUAACUACGUG
RNAcentral lists this ribosomal RNA (497 nucleotides) under uncultured bacterium. Its description in RNAcentral is "partial 16S ribosomal RNA". It matches the Rfam family "Bacterial small subunit ribosomal RNA", at positions 28 to 507 of the family's 1533-position model. The record is from RNAcentral.